RNAcentral lists this long non-coding RNA (251 nucleotides) under Physcomitrium patens. RNAcentral's name for it is "long non-coding RNA (PPAT_LNC007815)". Lineage: Eukaryota; Viridiplantae; Streptophyta; Bryopsida; Funariales; Funariaceae. The record is from RNAcentral.
UUUGAUUAGGAUUUGGUUUAGGAUUAGGAUUAGGAUUUAAUUUACUUUAGGAUUUGAUUUGGAUUAGGAUUUGGUUUGGAUUAGGAUUUGAUUAGGAUUAAGAUUUGAUUAGGAUUUAAGAUUUGGACUAAGAUUUGAUUAAGGUUCUUAAAUUUUUAAUUUUAGUAUUUAAAGUUAUUUUUAUUAUAUUUUUAGGAUUACAUUAUUAUAUAUGCAUUUCUUUAUGGUUAAUUUAUAAUUUCUUCAUGUUU